Molecule: long non-coding RNA, 299 nt
Organism: Perca fluviatilis (European perch)
Lineage: Eukaryota; Metazoa; Chordata; Actinopteri; Perciformes; Percidae
Exons: 3
Source: RefSeq, a predicted model, not a curated record
UUGCUAUGGUGACGCUUCGGUACACGGCCGCAGGACUCGGAGCGAAGCAGCAUCACGUUGGUUCAUCUCAUCUCUGAUCUCAAACAGCUGUCGUCAUGGCAGCAGGAGCGGUGGCGGCUCCGCUCAUCAUUCCCAUCAUCCACCUGCAGACACACAGAGCCAAGAACCUGGUGGACACACACACACCUAUCUCCAUGCAGUCAGAUACUCCAGAUGUGCAGAUCUUAUUCACUCUGGACGGGUCCAAGCCGGCGCCGGUGCAGCGGGGGGGGUCAGCGGGCAGCAGCAGGAAGUACAGC